CAGUAGCCACGGUAAUACGAAGGGUGCAAGCGUUACUCGGAAUUACUGGGCGUAAAGCGUGCGUAGGCGGCUUUUUAAGUCGGAUGUGAAAUCCCUGAGCUUAACUUAGGAAUUGCAUUCGAUACUGGGAAGCUAGAGUAUGGGAGAGGAUGGUAGAAUUCCAGGUGUAGCGGUGAAAUGCGUAGAGAUCUGGAGGAAUACCGAUGGCGAAGGCAGCCAUCUGGCCUAAUACUGACGCUGAGGUACGAAAGCAUGGGGAGCAAACAGGAUUAGAGACCCCCGUAGUCCCUGUCUCUUAUAC
This 301-nucleotide ribosomal RNA is filed under the name uncultured bacterium. RNAcentral's name for it is "partial 16S ribosomal RNA". It matches the Rfam family "Bacterial small subunit ribosomal RNA", at positions 509 to 807 of the family's 1533-position model. The record is from RNAcentral.